Vombatus ursinus (common wombat) is the source of this 2235-nucleotide RNA transcript. It is a transcript of the gene named dual specificity protein phosphatase 22-like, with no coding region annotated. The transcript has 2 exons. The record is from RefSeq and is a predicted model, not a curated record. Lineage: Eukaryota; Metazoa; Chordata; Mammalia; Diprotodontia; Vombatidae.
GAUGCAGUCUUCUUCCUCUUCUUCUUCCUGCUUGUUUUUCAUAUUUUCUGUAUGCACUGUGGUGUACUGGACCCCUUUGCAGUCCAUGUGGUGGUGGGGUGAUGGUGGUGGAGGUCUGGUAGUUGUGGUGGGGAAGGAAUUGAGGGCUUCUCCUUACUGCAUAUAUUCAUUCUCUGGGCAUCCUCUCCUUGCCCUGCAAUUUCAGACUCUCCCCCAAGUGGCCCCAGCCUUAGCUUGCUUUGCAAAAAGGAUACUGCUCAGUUACAGUACACUACCGUGGAGGGGAGGGGUGUGUGUAUGCACACACACAUGUGUGCCUGUUGUGUGUACACAAAUGUGUGUCCUUGUAUAUAUGAUAAUGAUUAUUAUAUAUGUGUGUGUGUAUAUAUAUACAUAUAUAUGUGUGUAUAUAUAUAUAAUGCCACCAGUAUUAGAAUCAUGAGUAGCCUUUUGUGGGUCCGGGCCUCUAUGCAGAAGUAUUUAAGCCAUUCAUUAACAAAACACUCUGGAAGAAAAUAGCAUUGUAUAUAUGUGAGCUGACAUUUAAAAGAACUCAAGGAUAUAAAUUGGGGGACUGGAGGGAGCAGUGUUCUUCCCUGGGAGCCUGGUUUGGGGUGAUUUGGGGGUUAAUGCCAGAAGGAAAUGGAAUAAUGAGAGAGAAGAGCAUCAGUGGAAAGUGGUCCCUAGAGAAGGUUUGGUCUCCAGCUACCCUUGAGCCAGGGGCCCCUGGAGGCCAGGGUUUGUUCUGGGGGACUUUAGAGCUAUCCUCCAGUCCUCCUGGCCUGGUCUAGGUGGUCUCCACAUCUUUGUGCGAGGUCAGUGCACUUUUGAGUCAGGCUGCUCACUCUGCUGAGUUUUGCUGAAUGUUGACUGUUAGAUGUUGACCACAAGGCAUCAUCCUUGUCACCAGGACCACCUCAAAGGUUCCUUCAUGCGUAGGUUUAUUUUUCACCCUCACUCUGUAAUAGGCUUCUCUCAGGAUUCCUAUGUGUCUGUAGGGAUCUGUGUGUUGUGUCCAAAGAAAGAGUUUAUUAAGCACCUGGACAGUGUUCAUUAAUAAAUGCCUGAGCAUUGAUUAAGCACUUUUGUUUGUACUGUGGACUUGGGAGUUGACCUCAGCUACCUCAUAGAAAGUGGUUGUUUUUUUUGUUUGGGCUUUGUUUUUUUUUUGUUUUUAAACUGAUGAACCCAACCCAUGAGUAGACACGUUCAUUCUUUUUGGGAAGAGAAAUGAAAGGACUUCAAUGCCCACUCAAGCCAUUUGAAAGUUUCUAACUUUGGCUUGAAUAAUGAUGGUUCUGAUAGGUCUGAACUUAAGUAUUAAAGCAGAAGACAGCAGUAUAUGGGUGCAGAUGUAUAACCUCUGCCUUGUGUGCACUUGGGAGCAGCAGUAGGCAUCAUCUGCUGGGUGCUGCUGUCUUCCAGGGGGUCUCCACUCCCUUAUGCCAACUCAGAUUUUUUAAGCAUGCAGAGCUCCGAGAAUGAAAAAAUGUGCCUGUCCUCUCCCUAAAAAGAUGUUGCGACGCUGUUCUUCUGAAUGCCACCACAAAAGAACCCCUGAAUGAGAAGAGAAGUUAUCCAGUGCAUUGUAGGGUCUGUGUUCAAGCAACAGCCGGAGUUCUGAAAUAUUUGACAUUACUAAGAAGACUAGUGGACAGUUGAAGAUGUCUGUUGGGAGUCAUACUUUGCAUACCUGUAAUUUCUGAGCUUCCUCUCAGUGGUGUGGAUUGUACUGCCAAAAAAACAAAAACAAAAAAACUGAAAAUAAAUAACCUGUGGCCAUUUUUUAGAUUUCCAGUUUUAAGUGUCUAUUGAUCUUGCUGAGGCUUCUAUCUUUUUUGAUUGAAAUGGAUGCUCUAUCGUGACAUGAUGUAUGCUUUUAGGAACUGGGGUUACUAUUUGGCCAAAAGAAAAUUAUUUGCACACUAAAAAAAUCACAGGAUUUAAAUUUGGAUGAUUUAGGAGGUGAGGGAGGAGACAACAAUUCAGAGUAUUAGAUGUGUUUUCGCCAUUCUAGCUUCUGGUAUAAUGCUGAUUGUUUCUUAGACCUGAUUUGAAUGGAGAAGUUGGUGACCUUGGGGGGCUUUCAUCCCGUGAGCUCUUUGGCACCUCAGAGGGGCACUGUGAAAAGCUUCUCACCCUGUUUGUAUUUUAUCCAUAAUGUAUGUCAUCAAUGAUGUGUGUUUAAUCAAAGCUCCAUGUUUUUAUUAAUAAAGACUACCUUUCCUAACUUUA